AGCUCAGCUGGGAGAGCGCUUGCCUUACAAGCAAGAUGUCAGCAGUUCGAUCCUGUUA
Molecule: transfer RNA, 58 nt
Filed under: Megamonas funiformis
Lineage: Bacteria; Bacillati; Bacillota; Negativicutes; Selenomonadales; Selenomonadaceae
Description: tRNA-Val
Rfam family: tRNA
About the family: Transfer RNA (tRNA) molecules are approximately 80 nucleotides in length. Their secondary structure includes four short double-helical elements and three loops (D, anti-codon, and T loops).
Source: RNAcentral